This 297-nucleotide long non-coding RNA is filed under the name Nicotiana benthamiana. RNAcentral describes it as "long non-coding RNA (NBEN_LNC001720)". The record is from RNAcentral. Lineage: Eukaryota; Viridiplantae; Streptophyta; Magnoliopsida; Solanales; Solanaceae.
CUCAACCACCAUCACCAUCUCCUCCACCACCCUAUUACUAUAAAUUACCACCAUCUCCAUCGUCAUCACCAUCUUCAUAUUACUACAAUUCUCCACCACCACCAUCUCCAUCACCGCCGCCACCCUAUUACUAUAAGUCUUCUCCUCCGUCGCCUUCUCCUCCACCUCUAUACUAUUACCACUCUCCACCCCCUCCAGUAACGUCUCCUCGUCCUCCUUAUUACUACAGCUCACCUCCUCCACCUAUGAAAUCACCUCCUCCACCAGUAUAUAUUUAUGCAUCUCCGCCACCUCCAA